GACGAACGCUGGCGGCGUGCUUAACACAUGCAAGUCGAACGAAGAGCGAUGGAAGCUUGCUUCUAUCAAUCUUAGUGGCGAACGGGUGAGUAACGCGUAAUCAACCUGCCCUUCAGAGGGGGACAACAGUUGGAAACGACUGCUAAUACCGCAUACGAUCUAACCUCGGCAUCGAGGAUGGAUGAAAGGUGGCCUCUAUUUAUAAGCUAUCACUGAAGGAGGGGAUUGCGUCUGAUUAGCUAGUUGGAGGGGUAACGGCCCACCAAGGCGAUGAUCAGUAGCCGGUCUGAGAGGAUGAACGGCCACAUUGGGACUGAGACACGGCCCAGACUCCUACGGGAGGCAGCAGUGGGGAAUCUUCCGCAAUGGACGAAAGUCUGACGGAGCAACGCCGCGUGAGUGAUGACGGCCUUCGGGUUGUAAAGCUCUGUUAAUCGGGACGAAAGGCCUUCUUGCGAAUAGUUAGAAGGAUAGACG
Molecule: ribosomal RNA, 477 nt
Filed under: Veillonella dispar
Lineage: Bacteria; Bacillati; Bacillota; Negativicutes; Veillonellales; Veillonellaceae
Description: bacterial SSU rRNA
Rfam family: Bacterial small subunit ribosomal RNA
Source: RNAcentral